This 387-nucleotide ribosomal RNA is filed under the name Legionella sp. LFIL. RNAcentral's name for it is "bacterial SSU rRNA". It matches the Rfam family "Bacterial small subunit ribosomal RNA", at positions 441 to 826 of the family's 1533-position model. The record is from RNAcentral. Lineage: Bacteria; Pseudomonadati; Pseudomonadota; Gammaproteobacteria; Legionellales; Legionellaceae.
AGGGUUGAUAGGUUAAGAGCUAAUUAUCUGGACGUUACCCACAGAAGAAGCACCGGCUAACUCCGUGCCAGCAGCCGCGGUAAUACGGAGGGUGCGAGCGUUAAUCGGAAUUACUGGGCGUAAAGGGUGCGUAGGUGGUUUUAUGAGUUAUCUGUGAAAUUCCUGGGCUCAACCUAGGGUGGUCAGAUAAGACUGUGAGACUUUGAGUAUAGGAGAGGGUAGUGGAAUUUCCGGUGUAGCGGUGAAAUGCGUAGAGAUCGGAAGGAACACCAGUGGCGAAGGCGGCUACCUGGCCUAAUACUGACACUGAGGCACGAAAGCGUGGGGAGCAAACAGGAUUAGAUACCCUGGUAGUCCACGCUGUAAACGAUGUCAACUAGCUGUUGG